Molecule: ribosomal RNA, 375 nt
Filed under: uncultured bacterium
Lineage: Bacteria
Description: bacterial SSU rRNA
Rfam family: Bacterial small subunit ribosomal RNA
Source: RNAcentral
ACACGUAGGGGGCGAGCGUUGUCCGGAAUUACUGGGCGUAAAGGGUGCGUAGGCGGUCUGUUAAGUCAGAUGUGAAAGACCUGGGCUCAACCCGGGAUGUGCAUCUGAGACUGGCGGACUUGAGUGCAGGAGAGGGAAGUGGAAUUUCUAGUGUAGCGGUGGAAUGCGUAGAUAUUAGGAAGAACACCAGUGGCGAAGGCGGCUUCCUGGACUGUAACUGACGCUGAGGCACGAAAGCGUGGGGAGCGAACAGGAUUAGAUACCCUGGUAGUCCACGCCGUAAACGAUGGAUACUAGGUGUAGGUAUCGUAGGAUAUCUGUGCCGGAGUUAACGCAAUAAGUAUCCCGCCUGGGGAGUACGGCCGCAAGGCUGAA